UACGUAGGUGGCAAGCGUUGUCCGGAUUUACUGGGCGUAAAGGGCGUGCAGGCGGUUUGUUUAGUCCAGGGUGAAAGCUCCCGGCUCAACUGGGAGAGGUCCUUGGAUACUGGCAGACUUGAGGGAGGUAGAGGAGAGUGGAAUUCCCGGUGUAGUGGUGAUAUGCGUAGAUAUCGGGAGGAACACCAGUGGCGAAGGCGGCUCUCUGGGCCUUACCUGACGCUGAGACGCGAAAGCGUGGGGAGCGAACCGG
RNAcentral lists this ribosomal RNA (253 nucleotides) under uncultured bacterium. RNAcentral describes it as "partial 16S ribosomal RNA". It matches the Rfam family "Bacterial small subunit ribosomal RNA", at positions 524 to 776 of the family's 1533-position model. The record is from RNAcentral.